RNAcentral lists this ribosomal RNA (293 nucleotides) under Serratia marcescens. Its description in RNAcentral is "partial 23S ribosomal RNA". It matches the Rfam family "Bacterial large subunit ribosomal RNA", at positions 1 to 285 of the family's 2925-position model. Lineage: Bacteria; Pseudomonadati; Pseudomonadota; Gammaproteobacteria; Enterobacterales; Yersiniaceae. The record is from RNAcentral.
GGGUUGUGAGGUUAAGUGACUAAGCGUACACGGUGGAUGCCUAGGCAGUCAGAGGCGAUGAAGGGCGUGCUAAUCUGCGAAAAGCGUCGGUAAGGUGAUAUGAACCGUUACAACCGGCGAUACCCGAAUGGGGAAACCCAGUGUGUUUCGACACACUAUCAUGUCAUGAAUACAUAGUGGCAUGAGGCGAACCGGGGGAACUGAAACAUCUAAGUACCCCGAGGAAAAGAAAUCAACCGAGAUUCCCCCAGUAGCGGCGAGCGAACGGGGAGGAGCCCAGAACCUGAAUCGGC